GAUGAACGCUGGCGGCGUGCCUAAUACAUGCAAGUCGAGCGAACAGACGAGGAGCUUGCUCCUCUGACGUUAGCGGCGGACGGGUGAGUAACACGUGGAUAACCUACCUAUAAGACUGGGAUAACUUCGGGAAACCGGAGCUAAUACCGGAUAAUAUAUUGAACCGCAUGGUUCAAUGGUGAAAGACGGUUUUGCUGUCACUUAUAGAUGGAUCCGCGCCGCAUUAGCUAGUUGGUAAGGUAACGGCUUACCAAGGCAACGAUGCGUAGCCGACCUGAGAGGGUGAUCGGCCACACUGGAACUGAGACACGGUCCAGACUCCUACGGGAGGCAGCAGUAGGGAAUCUUCCGCAAUGGGCGAAAGCCUGACGGAGCAACGCCGCGUGAGUGAUGAAGGUCUUCGGAUCGUAAAACUCUGUUAUUAGGGAAGAACAAAUGUGUAAGUAACUAUGCACGUCUUGACGGUGCCUAAUCAGAAAGCCACGGCUAACUACGUG
RNAcentral lists this ribosomal RNA (497 nucleotides) under uncultured bacterium. Its description in RNAcentral is "partial 16S ribosomal RNA". It matches the Rfam family "Bacterial small subunit ribosomal RNA", at positions 28 to 507 of the family's 1533-position model. The record is from RNAcentral.